RNAcentral lists this long non-coding RNA (217 nucleotides) under Elaeis guineensis (African oil palm). RNAcentral's name for it is "long non-coding RNA (EGUI_LNC036623)". Lineage: Eukaryota; Viridiplantae; Streptophyta; Magnoliopsida; Arecales; Arecaceae. The record is from RNAcentral.
GACUGGUUUUAGGGGCCAUGUCAACUACAAUGGACCAUGGCUAGCUUCAGUGGGCCAUAUUGGUUUCAAUAGGUAGCUACAAUGGAUCAUGGCUGACUUCAGCGGAUCAUAUAAGCUUCAGUGGGUCGUGUCGGCUUCAGUAGGCUAGGUUAGCUACAAUGGACCAUGAUUAACUUUAGUGGGCCAUGGUUGACUUUAGUCGGUUGCAGUGGAUCGU